RNAcentral lists this long non-coding RNA (225 nucleotides) under Elaeis guineensis (African oil palm). RNAcentral's name for it is "long non-coding RNA (EGUI_LNC016628)". The record is from RNAcentral. Lineage: Eukaryota; Viridiplantae; Streptophyta; Magnoliopsida; Arecales; Arecaceae.
CAACCAUCAACCUUCAAUAGUGCCAACCAAACUUCAACAGUGCCAACCAGACCCCUCCAACGGAUGAAUUCCCUCCGGACCCCUCCAGCGGUCGACCUUCCACAGUGUCCUCCAGACUCCUCCAGCGGACGAACUUCCACAAUGCCUUUUGAAUUUCACUAUCGAUCGACCUUCUGUUGGAUUCCUCAUGCAACCAGACCUCUCCAACGGACAGUCUUCAGACAA